RNAcentral lists this ribosomal RNA (505 nucleotides) under uncultured bacterium. RNAcentral describes it as "bacterial SSU rRNA". It matches the Rfam family "Bacterial small subunit ribosomal RNA", at positions 29 to 518 of the family's 1533-position model. The record is from RNAcentral.
AACGAACGCUGGCGGCGCGUCUUAAGCAUGCAAGUCGAGCGUGAUUGAAUAGCUUGCAUUCAUGAAAGCGGCGGACUGGUGAGUAACGCGUGGGUGACGUACCCUUUGGAUGGGGAUAGCUCCUAGAAAUAGGAGAUAAUACCGAAUAAGCUGCAUGUUGUCAGAGGACAUGCAGGAAAGGAACAUAUGUUCCGCCGAAGGAGCGGCCCGCGAGCUAUUAGCUUGUUGGUGAGGUAACGGCCCACCAAGGCGACGAUAGCUACCCGGCCUAAGAGGGUGAACGGGCACAUUGGGACUGAGAUACGGCCCAGACUCCUACGGGAGGCAGCAGCUAAGAAUAUUCCGCAAUGGACGAAAGUCUGACGGAGCGACGCCGCGUGGACGAGGGAAAGGCCGGAAGGUUGUAAAGUCCUUUUAUAUGUGGAGAAUAAGCAGGGGAGUGGAAAGCCCCUGUGGUGACUGUAGCAUAUGAAUAAGAGGCGGCUAAUUACGUGCCAGCCGCCGC